RNAcentral lists this non-coding RNA (85 nucleotides) under Niallia circulans. RNAcentral's name for it is "Bacillus circulans c-di-GMP sequence". It matches the Rfam family "c-di-GMP-I riboswitch aptamer". Rfam says of the family: GEMM was predicted in a large-scale screen for bacterial structured RNA regulatory elements. Genes associated with GEMM are involved in a diverse array of functions, including chemotaxis regulation, signal transduction, secretion and chitin. The record is from Rfam by way of RNAcentral. Lineage: Bacteria; Bacillati; Bacillota; Bacilli; Caryophanales; Bacillaceae.
AUUAAAUUUGGGCAAAUUUUACGAAAGUAAAAGACGCAAAGCCACGGGCCUAAAGCAAAAAUGCUAUGGUAGCCGGGUUGCCAAG